AUAAUCUCUAUAGUUAUUUGAUCUUAACACUUCUAUUAACCUGAUAUUAAUGGAAAUAUAAAAACUGAUCAGAUACAGAUAUAUGUGCUUAGUUUAAUUAUAUAAAAGGGUGGAGCAGCCACCAAAUCUAUCUCCGUAAUCACUAUUCCUACGAACGACGCCGCUAAGCAUCCUCGUGAAAGAGAAAAAGCGACGCUCGUUCUCUGUUUUCCGGUUCUCCAACGUCUUUUUGUCCUCUCUAAAAUCACGCGCGUCUGUGCACGUAAACGGUUUUCUAAGUGACAGAAAGAAUCUCCUGUGUCCAUCCCAAAAUCUUGUUUAAAUCCCUCUGGAAAGAUCUUGAGCAUUUACGUUCCUUAUCAAGCCAAGUCGCUCUGAUUAGUAUGUUUUAUCUUAUAAGAAAUGCAUACAAACUGUUCGAUAAAAUCACCACACCAAACUCUCACGUAACAACCUUCAUAUGUUGUUUGUAUUACACUUCUACAUUCAAUAAACAUACAAAUUACGAAGAUCCCACAAAUUUUCAUUACCCAAACGACAACGUAAUAUCAUGGACAUAUAAAAUUUCCAAGCUGGUUAGUAAAAACCAGCCUGAACAGGCAAUUGGGCUGUUCAAAACUAUGCUAUUAACUGAUCAAAGGCCUAACUUUGUGACACUAGUGAGCGUAAUACGUGGCUUAGGUGCAUUUCAUUGCCAAGACUUAAUAAGUGCGGCACAUGGGUUUGUGAUUAAAUUGGGGUUUGAGCUAGAAGUUCCUGUCCGGACAGCUCUUAUUCGAUUUUACACGUUGUUUGAUUUUGAAAUUUCGCUGAAGUUAUUCGAUCAAAAGCUACACAAUGAUGUCGUAUUGUGGAGCGCAAUGGUUUCGGCUUGUGUUAAGAACGCCAAGUAUAGGGAGGGUGUUCAACAUUUCAGGAGAAUGUUGAAUUAUGGUACAGAAGCUAAUCAUGUAACUGUUAUUAGUAUUUUGUCUGCUUGUGGUCAUCUUGGUGGAUUAUGUUUUGUGAAAGAGAUUCAUGGGUUUUGUUUAAAAAAGGUGUUUUAUUCUUUUACAGUUGUUCAAAACUCACUUAUGGAUGCGUAUGCAAAAUGUGGGAAAAUUGAGGCUUCUUUUUAUAUAUUCAAUAGGAUAUGUGAGAAGGAUUUGAUUUCAUGGAGAACUGUGAUUCGCAUAUGUGUUGAGAAUGAGUGUCCCAGAGAAGCAUUGGAUAUUUUCUUGAAGAUGCAACGUUCUACCACUGAAGCAGAUGAAAUUAUUAUCCGGGAUACAAUUAUGGCAUCAAUACAAGCAAAAGAGCUUAAAUUUGGACUUGGAUUUCAUGCUUACAUAGAGAAAAAUGGAUUCUCAGGUUAUGUUUCAGUUGGGACUGCACUUCUGCAAAUGUAUGGUAAGUUCAGCAAGUUUAGUUCAGCUUGGCUGGUAUUUGAUCAACUGAAUUAUAAAGAUCUUAUUGCAUGGAGUGCAAUGAUCUCAGUAUAUGCUCGAGGAGGGAAACCGUAUGACGCCUUAAAUAUAUACAGACAGAUGCAGUCCACAAAUGAGAAAGCUAAUGAGGUUACAUUUGUUAGCCUAUUACAAGCAUGUUCUGCACUGGGUGCUCAAGAGCUUGGGGAAAGCAUCCAUGGAUUCAUAACUAAAGCUGGUCAUUCAUCCAAUGCUUUUCUGAAUUCUGCAUUGAUUGAUUUAUACUGCAAAUUUGGAAGUGUAAAGAAAGGGAAGGCUGUCUUUGACGAAAUUUCCACCAAAGACCUAAUUUGUUGGAGUUCAAUGAUUAAUGGAUACGCGUUGAAUGGAUGUGGAUCUGAGGCUCUUGAAACAUUCGCAGACAUGUUGAAUUGGGGAUUCAAGCCCAAUGAAACUGUUUUCCUUUCCAUUCUAUCUGUGUGUAGUCAAUGUGGGCUAGAACAUGAGGGUCGCAAAUGGUUUUAUUAUAUGCAGGAAAAGUAUCGACUUGCUCCAAAACUUUCACACUAUGCUUGCAUGGUGGAUUUGCUAAGUCGCCAUGGACAUAUUGAGGAGGCUCUUAUGUUUGUAAAGAAAAUGCCAGUGGUGCCUGAUAAAAGAAUCUGGGGAGCUGUUCUUGCUGGUUGUAGAUCAAGAGGAGAUGGGUCAACUGAGGUGGCAGAGUUUGUAGUCCGACAGCUUAGCGCACUAGACCCAGAAAACACAAGCUAUUAUGUGACUUUAUUAGACUUGUACGCAGAGCAGGGUCGAUGGAAGGAUGUGGAGAGGCUUACAAAAAUAGUGGAUGAGAAGGGGUCAACGAAGAGAAUAGAAUGCAACGUAAUGGAAACAAAUUAAUAGGUAUAAAUUGCCUCCAAUUCCCUUCUCAUGACAGACCCACAGUCGCUCACUCUAACAUUCAUACUGGGUUUGCCUGUUCAGAGAUGAAAAAAGGGAUCCUUGAAGUCCUACUUGUUCAUGCUGAAGGCAUUAGACACACAAAUCUCAUUGGAAGACCAGCCUAUUAUGUCAUCACACAAUGUGGCAACAGAGUACAUGAAAGCAAAGUUUCAUCAGGUUUACUUCCUGCUUUUCAUUUUUAAUAUACUUGCCUGCAUUCAACUAAACUAAGCUUCAAUCCGAAUUUAUUUUCAUUUUUAAUAUCUUUACCAUUAAUUCCUCCAUCAAUUUGUUGAAGAGUUCUACUACCUGAGCUCCAUGAUGCAGGUAAAGACCAAGAGGCUUGCUGGAAUGAGAAAUUCAGGUUUGAAUUUCCACUAAUUGAUUGGAAACGCAUGACCCAUCUAAAAUUCAGAAUCAUGGAUAAGGAAUUCUUCACAGACAGUGGAUUUGUUGGGGAAACCAUGUAAUAUUAAAUAAUUCUUGUCUACAGUUUUUUUUCUUCCCACUAGUAUUCUGUCUUUUAAAAUCUUGAUGUUGCACAAAGUUAAUGGGGGAUCAUGGAGCACAAAGAUGCGAGUACGAAACCCAACUAGAUUUUUUCACUUUAAUUUUGUUUUAGAUUUCAAGUGGAUAAGAAAAUUAUGCAUUCACCCUGACUUGACUGUUUAAUAUUUCCUCUCUUUUCAGACUAGCUUCAUAGCAUUUGAGUGACACUCCCAUGGCUACAAGUUACACGUAGAAUUAGAAGAAAGAGAGCUUGCAUGAAAGUUAAAAUUCUGCUAAACAUAUUUCGCAUUGUAGAACUUUCUUUUGCAUAAUACUUUUCUGUAGAUAUAGCAACAAUGUAAUAUCAGAAAUAUCAUCACUUCUUAAAAUUUUGUUAUUGUUUAGCUUUUAAUGUAGAUAUUAUUUUUGCUUCCGUGAGUCAGAAUAUACCUUGGAGGAAUAAUAGCUGAGGGAAUUAAUAAAGGAAUUCUAGAAGUGAAACCAGCUCCAUAUAAUGUGGUGCUUGAAGAUGACACCUAUAAAGGAGAGAUUAAAAUUGGACUCAAUUUCAUUAUCAAUG
This is an RNA transcript of Ricinus communis (castor bean), 3414 nucleotides long. It is a transcript of the gene named elicitor-responsive protein 3, with no coding region annotated. Lineage: Eukaryota; Viridiplantae; Streptophyta; Magnoliopsida; Malpighiales; Euphorbiaceae. The record is from RefSeq and is a predicted model, not a curated record. The transcript has 3 exons.